CGCCUCUUGAAUUAAUAUAAGAGGUCCAGCCUGCCCAGUGACCCUGUUCAACGGCCGCGGUAUCCUAACCGUGCGAAGGUAGCGUAAUCACUUGUUCUUUAAAUGAGGACUAGUAUGAACGGCAUCACGAAGGUUAUACUGUCUCCUUUUUCCAAUCAGUGAACCUAAUCUCCCCGUGAAGAAGCGGGGAUGUAAUUAUAAGACGAGAAGACCCUAUGGAGCUUAAAACAACACAGCACUUGCUAAAAAAUUAAACAAUUUCAGAAUUUUCCUUUUCUAAGCAACAUGACUGUAAGUUUUUGGUUGGGGUGACCACGGAGUAUAAUAUAACCUCCAUGUUGGAAGAAUUUUAUUCUAAGCCAAAAAUUACAUUUUUAAGCAUCAAUAAAUUGACAUCUAUUGACCCAAUAUAUUUGAACAACGAACCAAGUUACCCUAGGGAUAACAGCGCAAUCCACUUCAAGAGCUCCUAUCGACAAGUGGGUUUACGACCUCGAUGUUGGAUCAGGGUAUCCCAGUGGUGCAGCCGCUACUAAAGGUUCGUUUGUUCAACGAUUAAAACCCU
Molecule: ribosomal RNA, 565 nt
Filed under: Peltophryne empusa (Cuban small-eared toad)
Lineage: Eukaryota; Metazoa; Chordata; Amphibia; Anura; Bufonidae
Description: Peltophryne empua (Cuban small-eared toad) partial 16S ribosomal RNA
Rfam family: Bacterial large subunit ribosomal RNA
Source: RNAcentral